RNAcentral lists this long non-coding RNA (677 nucleotides) under Monodelphis domestica (gray short-tailed opossum). RNAcentral describes it as "lncRNA (ENSMODG00000033978.2)". Lineage: Eukaryota; Metazoa; Chordata; Mammalia; Didelphimorphia; Didelphidae. The record is from RNAcentral.
AGACAAGCUCCCUGCAUGAUUGGCUUCAAAGUGUCUGGUGCCAAACAACUAACAGAGGCGCAAAAAGUAGAAGCCGUGCAUUUACAGCCCAGCGAAAGGGAGGCAGACAGAACGCGAGCUACCCGGGGCUCCUCAGAUGCUGGAGUCUCUCUCUACCUUUGCACGGCUCUCUCGACGUCUUAGGAGCAUUUAAGCAUGCCAGCCCAGGAGAUCAGAGACACUCAGCCCAGCUGAAAACAAGUGAGAGAGAACAAUUAGAGAGGGGGCUCAAUUCUCAAAAGUGAGCCCGCUCCUUGAUCUGCAAAGCGGAAGCAGCCGCAGCAGCUGUGAGCAAGAAAAAGGUGAAAUUUACCAAGAAAGAACUCGUCUCUAUUCCAGUCUAUUGAAUCCCAGUCAUGGCAUCCGUCUUGGGAAACAACAGAGGGUCUGGAGGGCUAAGUAGUCAACUCAAAUGCAAGUCGAAAAGGAGGAGGAGAAGAAGAUCAAAGAGAAAAGGCUGGCUCCCAGGGAAAUACCAUGCCAGUGUUCCACAGAUUUCACUGGAUACCAGUCAGUUUCUUCUGGUUCCAGAUCUAUCCCAUCCCUCACCAGGCCCUCCAGAAAAGUCACCAGAUUAAUUUUCUUACAAAGAGAAGAAAAGAUAUGAAUAAAUAAUUUGUGGAUUUGCUGGAGUUCCA